GGGUGAUGCGGCCACCCAGACGAUAUCGCCAGAGCAAGAAUGCUUGUACAAGAAAAGACGUCGAGAAUCAAGCCCAUAAUUAUUUGUCAUUUUUUGGUACAUUUGACGGUAAGACACGCAAGAAUAAAGGAAUAUGAUUCCCUAAGUUACAGCCAAAGAUCAGCAUAAAACCAUCACCACCCAUAAACAAAUAUAAGUCACUCUCACGUAGAUUAUUUUCAACCUUGAACUCAAUAUUCUUCUUUAUCAGUUUUUCAACUAAAGAAUCAAAAGUUUUUAGCCGGUAUCACACCAGCAUCCACCACUAAUCAACUUACCACCUUUUACAGGUUUACUAGGGAGAUCAAAAGCUUGGAAAGAUGGUUAUGUAGUAACACAUUCAAGGUCCAUGAGAUGUAAUGCUACACUUAAGUUAUUUUGUUUGAUU
RNAcentral lists this long non-coding RNA (427 nucleotides) under Actinidia chinensis (golden kiwifruit). Its description in RNAcentral is "long non-coding RNA (ACHI_LNC005819)". The record is from RNAcentral. Lineage: Eukaryota; Viridiplantae; Streptophyta; Magnoliopsida; Ericales; Actinidiaceae.